UACAGAGGUCUCAAGCGUUGUUCGGAUUCAUUGGGCGUAAAGGGUGCGUAGGUGGCGCUGUAAGUCGGGUGUGAAAUUUCGGAGCUUAACUCCGAAACUGCAUUCGAUACUGCGGUGCUUGAGGACUGGAGAGGAGACUGGAAUUCAUGGUGUAGCAGUGAAAUGCGUAGAGAUCAUGAGGGAGACCAGUGGCGAAGGCGGGUCUCUGGACAGUUCCUGACACUGAGGCACGAAGGCCAGGGGAGCAAACGGG
This 253-nucleotide ribosomal RNA is filed under the name uncultured bacterium. RNAcentral's name for it is "partial 16S ribosomal RNA". It matches the Rfam family "Bacterial small subunit ribosomal RNA", at positions 524 to 776 of the family's 1533-position model. The record is from RNAcentral.